This 452-nucleotide long non-coding RNA is filed under the name Numida meleagris (helmeted guineafowl). RNAcentral's name for it is "lncRNA (ENSNMEG00000018085.1)". The record is from RNAcentral. Lineage: Eukaryota; Metazoa; Chordata; Aves; Galliformes; Numididae.
UUCUCCAGUAAAAUUUUCCAGGAUUGUGAAGCAGAAUAAAAAAUAAUUGGAAAAAAUUAAUCCAAUUCUGUCAAAAUGGAAAUAAGCACAGAUAUGUACUAAGGAACGCUUAUUCCAUUGGACCUGGAACUGUGAAAGAAGACCAAAACCUCAAGAGAGAUGAUGAAGUGAAUCUUAGCACACCCCCUGUAUUUUAAAGUGCCAUCAGGAUGUGCAUGUGUCUGGGUGUGUACAGAGUUUUUUCCAUCAAAUUACCUGUUUGUGGAAUUGUGCUAUGAGAUCCUGAAUUAGUUUAGAAGUUGAAGGCAGAGAUGGGAGCAUUCGAUACCGGAAUCUUAAGAUAAGUAUCAGUGAUAGUUGGUUUUUUUGGCUGUUGUUCUGCUGGCACCUUCACUGGCGAAUCUUUCCUUAUGUACCAGCACCAAGUCUAGAUGUGAUGCCUUGUGCCUUGA